Molecule: ribosomal RNA, 304 nt
Filed under: uncultured bacterium
Lineage: Bacteria
Description: bacterial SSU rRNA
Rfam family: Bacterial small subunit ribosomal RNA
Source: RNAcentral
GUGCCUAACACAUGCAAGUCGAACGCGAGGGUCCCGCAAGGGACUAGUAGAGUGGCAAACGGGUGAGUAACACGUGGGUGACCUGCCUUCGAGUGGGGGAUAACGUCCCGAAAGGGACGCUAAUACCGCAUGACAUCCUGCCGUUGAAACCGGUGGAGAUCAAAGCUGGGGAUCGCAAGACCUAGCGCUUGAAGAGGGGCCCGCGUCCGAUUAGCUAGUUGGUGGGGUAACGGCUCACCAAGGCGACGAUCGGUAGCCGGCCUGAGAGGGCGGACGGCCACACUGGGACUGAGACACGGCCCAG